GAUGAACGCUAGCGGCGCGCCUUAUGCAUGCAAGUCGUACGGUUUCUCGCAAGAGGGACAGUGGCGAACGGGUGAGUAAUAGUUAGGUAACCUGCCUUUAAGUGGGGGAUAACACUUCGAAAGAAGUGCUAAUACCGCAUGUGGUGCUCUUUCAUAAGAAGGAUCACUAAAACCGCAAGGUGCUUGAAGAGGGGCCUGACUCCGAUUAGCUAGUUGGUGGGGUAACGGCCUACCAAGGCUAUGAUCGGUAGCUGGUCUGAGAGGAUGGUCAGCCACACUGGGACUGAGACACGGCCCAGACUCCUACGGGAGGCAG
This 316-nucleotide ribosomal RNA is filed under the name uncultured Chloroflexota bacterium. Its description in RNAcentral is "bacterial SSU rRNA". It matches the Rfam family "Bacterial small subunit ribosomal RNA", at positions 28 to 351 of the family's 1533-position model. Lineage: Bacteria; Bacillati; Chloroflexota. The record is from RNAcentral.